UGAGAUAUCCCCCACAGAAGUGGGUAAGACCCCUUGAAGACUACGAGGUAGAUAGGGCAUGGGUGUAAGUGCAGCAAUGCAUUAAGCUGAAUGCUACUAAUCGGUCGAGGGCUUAUCCUA
Molecule: ribosomal RNA, 120 nt
Filed under: Lachnospiraceae bacterium
Lineage: Bacteria; Bacillati; Bacillota; Clostridia; Lachnospirales; Lachnospiraceae
Description: partial 23S ribosomal RNA
Rfam family: Bacterial large subunit ribosomal RNA
Source: RNAcentral